UGAAAUCGGAACCCCACGAAAAUGAUGAAACAGCGAAACAAAGAAACACCGCCCCUUCACCACCAAACGUCAACAACUCUACAGACAACUUAUAACAAAGUAGAACGAACAAAACAGUAACCAAACUUAAAUGCAAUAUAACAAGAUGAAUUAAUCCACCACAAAUCCAACGAAAACAAACGUAAAAGAUGAAAAAUGCAGGAGCAAUAAGG
RNAcentral lists this long non-coding RNA (212 nucleotides) under Gossypium barbadense (sea-island cotton). RNAcentral's name for it is "long non-coding RNA (GBAR_LNC004248)". The record is from RNAcentral. Lineage: Eukaryota; Viridiplantae; Streptophyta; Magnoliopsida; Malvales; Malvaceae.